AUUGAACGCUGGCGGCAGGCCUAACACAUGCAAGUCGAGCGGCUGAAGGGAGCUUGCUCCUGGAUUCAGCGGCGGACGGGUGAGUAAUGCCUAGGAAUCUGCCUGGUAGUGGGGGAUAACGUCCGGAAACGGGCGCUCAUACCGCAUACGUCCUGAGGGCGAACGUGGGGGAUCUUCGGACCUCACGCUCUCAGAUGAGCCUAGGUCGGAUUGGCUAGUUGGUGGGGUAAAGGCCUACCAAGGCGACGAUCCGUAACUGGUCUGAGAGGAUGAUCAGUCACACUGGAACUGAGACACGGUCCAGACUCCUACGGGAGGCAGCAGUGGGGAAUAUUGGACAAUGGGCGAAAGCCUGAUCCAGCCAUGCCGCGUGUGUGAAGAAGGUCUUCGGAUUGUAAAGCACUUUAAGUUGGGAGGAAGGGCAGUAAGUUAAUACCUUGCUGUUUUGACGUUACCAACAGAAUAAGCACCGGCUAACUUCGUG
RNAcentral lists this ribosomal RNA (484 nucleotides) under uncultured bacterium. Its description in RNAcentral is "partial 16S ribosomal RNA". It matches the Rfam family "Bacterial small subunit ribosomal RNA", at positions 30 to 507 of the family's 1533-position model. The record is from RNAcentral.